GGAGGUCAUCUUGGUAGAUUGUAACUUAAUAGUAGAUGCAGGGCUACGCUCAUGCUGCCAGAGAGGGGGCACAUAGUGUCGGUGAAAGUUCUAGUUCCACAUCAUGGAGUAGUCAGCAGGAUACUGAGGAUGACCGAAUGAUUGCUCUUGUACUAUCAGAAGAAUUCGCCAACCUAGAUGGUGCAGUUGCUAGACGCCUCACUAACCUGGCACCUAUUCCUCAUGUUCCACGGAUAAAUACAUAUAUAC
Molecule: unclassified non-coding RNA, 249 nt
Filed under: Hevea brasiliensis (rubber tree)
Lineage: Eukaryota; Viridiplantae; Streptophyta; Magnoliopsida; Malpighiales; Euphorbiaceae
Source: RNAcentral